CGCUAGCUACAGGCUUAACACAUGCAAGUCGAGGGGCAGCAUGGUCUUAGCUUGCUAAGGCCGAUGGCGACCGGCGCACGGGUGAGUAACACGUAUCCAACCUGCCGUCUACUCUUGGACAGCCUUCUGAAAGGAAGAUUAAUACAAGAUGGCAUCAUGAGUUCACAUGUUCACAUGAUUAAAGGUAUUCCGGUAGACGAUGGGGAUGCGUUCCAUUAGAUAGUAGGCGGGGUAACGGCCCACCUAGUCUUCGAUGGAUAGGGGUUCUGAGAGGAAGGUCCCCCACAUUGGAACUGAGACACGGUUCAAACUCCUACGGGAGGCAGCAGUGAGGAAUAUUGGUCAAUGGGCGAGAGCCUGAACCAGCCAAGUAGCGUGAAGGAUGACUGCCCUAUGGGUUGUAAACUUCUUUUAUAAAGGAAUAAAGUCGGGUAUGGAUACCCGUUUGCAUGUACUUUAUGAAUAAGGAUCGGCUAACUCCGUGCCAGCAGCCGCGGUAAUACGGAGGAUCCGAGCGUUAUCCGGAUUUAUUGGGUUUAAAGGGAGCGUAGAUGGAUGUUUAAGUCAGUUGUGAAAGUUUGCGGCUCAACCGUAAAAUUGCAGUUGAUACUGGAUAUCUUGAGUGCAGUUGAGGCAGGCGGAAUUCGUGGUGUAGCGGUGAAAUGCUUAGAUAUCACGAAGAACUCCGAUUGGGAAGGCAGCCUGCUAAGCUGCAACUGACAUUGAGCCUCAAAAGUGUGGGUACCAAACAGG
This 753-nucleotide ribosomal RNA is filed under the name uncultured bacterium. Its description in RNAcentral is "bacterial SSU rRNA". It matches the Rfam family "Bacterial small subunit ribosomal RNA", at positions 34 to 776 of the family's 1533-position model. The record is from RNAcentral.